GGAUUUUCGCGUUUUCGGAGCCUAAUUUCAUUGGAAACGGGUCAACGAUCAAAAGUCACCAGCGCUGCGCUCGUGAGCUGCAGGGUUUUUUGGUCAAAUUUUAUCGUUUGGGCCUCUAAAAGUACAUUUUAUUGUUUUCAGGUUAUUUUUGUAAUUUUCCCUAUUAGUUUUUCUUUUCCGUUUUGGAUUCCGCUUUUAAGGUUUUGCUAUAGAAACGUUUUUUUAUGAUGGGAUGCAACAGUUUUGGUAAACUAGUGCUGGUAUGAUCGCACCCGUUAGGAUUCUCCAUUUUUAU
This 295-nucleotide long non-coding RNA is filed under the name Panax ginseng (ginseng). RNAcentral's name for it is "long non-coding RNA (PGIN_LNC017529)". The record is from RNAcentral. Lineage: Eukaryota; Viridiplantae; Streptophyta; Magnoliopsida; Apiales; Araliaceae.